This 6327-nucleotide long non-coding RNA is filed under the name Mytilus galloprovincialis (Mediterranean mussel). The record is from RNAcentral. Lineage: Eukaryota; Metazoa; Mollusca; Bivalvia; Mytilida; Mytilidae.
GUUGACAUUUUGAAUCUAUUUAAAAUAUCCAUUCAAUCAACGAUUACUUCAUUUGUUGCCCAUCCUCUAAAUGGGAGGGUGUUGCUCUUCCCAGGUACUUUACAGGAUACUUUAUUUAAUUUUUUAUUAUAGUACAAUUCAUCAUUGCAUACACUUUGUCUAUGACUAUGUGUAAAUUCACGAACAUCAGUCAAAUUUACUUUCAAAAUAGACUACAUGUAUAACAAAAUGUACAUAAAUAAAUAAAGGCAAUAGUAAUAUACUACUGCUCAAUAGUCAUAGAUUCAAUCAAACAAAAUCAAAUCUGGGUAACAAAUCGACCCGAGGGAAAUACAUCAACUUUAGAUAAAAAUAACAUAACAACAGAAAAACCGUACUAUCCUGCGGCUACGGUAGUCUAUAACUUAAUAAGAUCAAAAUAACGUAACAACAGAAACACUGGACUAUCCUACGACUAAGGUAGUCUAUAAUUGGUCAUCAUGUUAGUUCAUUCAGACUUUGUUAUUGUAUUCAGGAAACCUUUGCAGUGACGUCACUGCGCUAAUACCAGUCAGGGAUAUAACUCUAUAGGGUUAUUACAGGAAAAUAACAUACAUUUGUUAUUGUGGACUAAAAAAUCAAAGAACUGUGAUAACAUAUAUAUGUUACAUGUUUCAAAGGAACAAUACACAUCAUUAGUUUAGUUAAAAUGUAUAAAAGUUCUAUUGAUAUUACUUUUUUCUCUAUGAAAACUUAACUAUUUAAAGAUAUAACAGUUCAUAGUUUGUCAAUUUUGCAUAGUACACCUAUAUGUUAUUACAGAAAAAAUGUGCCUGUAAUAACUAAAGGGUGUAAUCACAGCUUCUCUUUUUCACUUCAAAGCAUUUGCUCAGACAUACAUCAUGGAGGCCCCUCAUGGGGGGUCCUAGUAAUCACAUAAUCACCAUUUUUUUGCCAAUAUAAUCACAUAAUCAUUAAAUAUUUGCUUAUCUUUAGUAAUCAAAUAAUCAUAAACUAAAAAUACAGUCCUAGGUAAUCAAAUAAUCAUGAAAUAUUUGGCUUAAUAAUCAAAUAAUCAUUAAAAAAACGGCCAAGUAAUCACAUAAUCAAAAACCCCAUGAGGGCCCUCAUCAUGCUUAAUUACAAUGUAGUUUAAUUUAUUGUAAGAAAUAAUGACCAGAGCAUGUAAUGAGGUUUUACGCAAAUUUCUCAGUAAUUCCCAAGUGUCUUAUAUAAUAAGUUACAUUCCUUUAAUAACUGAGCUUUGUUAUCACAGCUAAGUUUAUCCCUUAAUAGCCUUGACUUAUUGAUUUACCAUGGUCCAUCAAAAAUUUAUUAAUUUUAAUUUUAAAAAAUUAGUUAUCUAGACUAUGCAUUUAGUUUCUGCGCAAAGUCUCAACAGUUCCCUAGACCCCACUAUAAAUGAAAUAAUUUUACAAAUAACAAGCAUAUGUUAUUACAGAUUUAGAAAAUUUAACAGUCAAGUAACAAAUUCAAAAUUUUGUCAUAAAUUGUGAUUUUGUAGUUUUACUAAAAAUUUUAACACAUAGGUUUAGAUAAUAUCUUUUCAUUAGUAAAAUUGAAAAAAAUGAACUUUUGGCUUCUUUUAAGUAACAAGGUUGAUGCCUUUGAUGCUAUCGUUUAACUGUAAAUUCUACUUUAUUGGAAAAAAUGCUAUAAUGAUGGCUUAACUUAAUGAACUGAUACUUUCCAGAUUUUUCCCAGCAGUGGGAGUAUUUUUCCUGUAAAGUUCAAGGUUUCAUCUUUUAGAUUAUGUAAUAAAAUUCUACUGUUCGCGAUAAAAAUUUCACUGUUCAGGGGUGUUGAAAUUAGUGGAGGUUAUUAGAAUAAUGAUACUUAAAAAAAGUGAUUUUUUGGAAGGAAAUUGAGGUAUGAUACAUAAACAAUUGAUUUUUAUGUCAAUAUCGUAGAUUCGGUACAAGGUCAUCACCUCACAUGACCUGGUCAUCCUAGACAACACAGAUGUUGGCCCUGAUAAUUUUAGCAACAUAAUUAGUCCCUGGAUCAUUAGUUUAGAUUUAAAAUACAAUAAUUAAAUCACUUAGUCUAGUGAUAGAUUUGUACUACAUGUACUUAAAUAGGUGAUUAUUAAAGAAAGACAACUCUUACUUUCAACCUUUAUGAACAUAAUGUUACUUGAAUCAGUGAUUUAGAAAAUCACUCAUUUAAGUAAGUCCCCUGACUGUUUAAGAUGAAAGUAUCUGUAAUAACACACGCAAGUUAUUUCCUGGAAUAACCCUAUAGAGUUAUAUCUCUGACUGAAUACCAGCAUACAAAAUAAGUGCAGAAUACGUUUUUUUUUUACUCUUCUUAGACUUCUUAUUAAAAAAAAUGUUUCUAAAGUAUUGUUCAAAAGUGCCAAAUUUUAAUAGCCAGGUAUCAAUCAGUCCAUCGCGAUAGUUUAUUUAAGUCACUUUGUAAUUGAGUUUUAUCCUCUUUCUGACUAAUUUUGUUAAAAAUUUUAGUAUUAUCUGCAAAAAGGUAUACGUUGUAAUCGACCAGGUUUGGUACAAUGUAGGUCAUUUAAAAAAAAAAUCUUUUCUUUUUGUAUUAAAAGUUUUUGAAGAUCUCAUGGAAGAAAAACAUGUCAUUGUUUGAUGUGUUACCUUCAUUAAAUAAAGAAUUUUAUUUAUUUAUUUAUUAUGAUUAUCGCACAAAUUAAUCAAGUUAAAAGACCUUACUUGAAUAUCUUUUUUCAUAAUUAGAUUUCGUAUUUUGUCUUAAAUUCUUUUGAAAAAUCUUGUUAAUCCUUAAUAAUUUAUCUUUCAGACAUAAUUUAUAGAAUCAUUUUAUGUAGUGUAGAUCAAAAGUUAUCAUGAUACAUAAUAUAGUUUUGUUUGUUCAGGUAUAUUCAUUGUAAUGUAUAUAUCAUAGAAGUUCUUAAAGCUAAUUCAUAUAAUUAGAGGUGAAUGUUUAAUGUUGAUGUUGAAAAUUCAGUCAAUUUUUAUACGCAUACAAAUGUCCGGUGUCCGUCUGUCUGUCCGUCCGUCUGUCUGGCGUAAACAUGUCGCACCGUAACUUGAGAAUGACUUAUCCAAAUUUCAUGAAACUUAAUAUAGUUGUUUCUUAUGAUGGUCAAUACUGUGUAUACUUUUGUGCAAUAUAAAUUUAAACUUUUGAGUUACGGCAUUUCAACUAAACAGGCGUGUGUUUUUUUUCACAUGUCGACCGUAUCUCAAAAACAUUCUUGAUAUUUGCUUAAACUUUACACACUUCAUUUUUUAUAUUUUAAAUCUUAUACUCUUAGGUGUGAUUAAAAUUUCAUUUGACUACUUGAGUAUUUUAAAAAGGGGAGUUUUUUCACAGUCACGCUGCAUCUCAAAAACAAUUUAUGAUUAUGUUGCUUUAAAUCUUUAACCACUUUAUCUUUUUGGUGAUGAUCAAAAGUCAUUUUGAUUAUUGAUAUUUUGUAAAAAGGGGUGCGGUUUUUUACAUGUUGUGCUGUAUCUCAAAAAUUAUUUAGGAUAUUACUUUAAACUUUACACACUUCUUGUUUAUAUCAAUCUAGAGUCUAAAUACUUUUUUUAUACUCAAAUUUAUUUUUGAGUUAUUUAAUUUUGUAAAAAAGGAUUUUUUUGUUUUACAUGUCACCCGUAUCCCAAAAACAUUAUGAUUAUUGCUUGAAACUGUACACACUUCUUUGUUAUAUUAAUCUAAAGAUCUGUAUACUUUUUGGUUUGAUUCAAAAUUUUAUUUUAGUGAUAUUCAGUUUUUUGUAAAAAAUAAACAGGGUGGGGGGGUUCACAUGUCUCAAAAACAAUAAAUGGCUAUUGCUUAAAACUUUCUCAGAAACUAUUUAUGAUUAUUGCAUAAAACUUCCACACAAGACGUCAGGCGUAUCAUGCGCUCAUGGCGCAGCUGUUUAUUACAUCAAGUUAAAAUACAUUUGUAAAUCUAUUUUGUAUUUCAGGCACAAUGUUGCUUUUGGAAGGCAUCAUGUGGCCUUUGCUGUUUUUGCCUGCCACCAAUAAAUGAAUCAACAACUACACGUAUUAUGUAUACCAUCUUUUUUGUUAUUGGUUUUCUGGUUGCCUGUUUUAUGCUGUCACCAAAUUUUGAAAAUGCUAUUAUGGAAAAUGUAAGUACAAAUUAUUAUAAUUCUAGAUGUACAUGUACUACAUUGUAGGAAUCCAGGUGUGAUCACCACACUCUAAAAGUAAAUUGCAAAUGCAAAUUAAUCCUGAAAAGGACUUAGGUUUAUAUUUUCAUGCACACAAUAUUUAUAUUCAUAUCUAGUCAUGACAGAACUGCAGUUAUUUUCAAAAUUUGAUUUAUAAUGCAGCUAAACGUAUAAUACAUGAUUUUGAAAAGUAUUAUGUUAAAAGUUCUUUUUUGGAGGGAACCAUAAUUUAAUGUCAAGACAAAAACAGCUAUUUCAUUGAUAUAUCGGUAAUUUCCUUGUAUUUCAUGAUAUUUCAUAUAAAUGUUCAUCUAUUUCACAUCCUUUAUUUUCAAAUCUAUAAAUUACAGGUAGAAAUUUGAAAAGAAAAUAAACAGGAAAAUCCAGAAAUAUUUAGGAUAUGUCGAUAAUUCACCUUGCUAUCCUGAUCAUAUCAUUGUUGAAUUACCAAUAUUUUUAUAUGGUUAUUAGCUACAACAAAUUUGAAUUAUGUAUAACAUUUUAAUUUCAAUUCACUCCUCAGUCCUGACAGUUGGUUUAUAUUUGUAGACAUCAUAUAUAUGCAUGGUAAUUUCAAUCCAAUCCUGAUAUUUGGUUACUUAAUUAUAAGGUAUUUUUUUGGUCAUGUUUAUAGAUACCAGGAUUCAAUGAGACAUGUUUGGAGUUAAAUGCUGGAGCCAACUGUGGCAGGUUAACCGGUUAUAAAGCAGUAUAUAGACUGUGUUUUGGAAUGGUUGUGUACAGCUUUAUCAUGUUUAUCACGACACUUUGUGUAUCAUCCAGUGCUCAGUGCAGAGGAGCGUGGCAUAAUGGGUAAUACAUUCUUAUAUAGCUUUAAAACAUAUAUUCAUAAAUGGAGAUUUGAUAUUUUUUUUUUAUGAGGCCUUUGCUUAUAAGUUAUAACAAAUUUCACCGAAUAAUAUUGUAUGCAUACCCAUUUACAAAUAAUAAGACAUUACAAAAGUAUAAUGCUUGUAAACAUGGUAAAAGUUACGUCUCUUUAAAAUUCUAAUUAUCUACAUUUUUUCCCUGACUUUAAGUUUGGAAAAAUUAAUAUAAGAGCUUGACUUAUUGGAUAGAUAUUUGUAAACUGUCAAUAACCAUGUGUUGUUUUAUGGAAAGCUUUUGGAUUUGUUUUUGUUCUUGAGUCUCUGUCUUAUUGUCAUAUAAAAAUGUUUUAAUUAAAGAUUUUGGUUGUGGAAGUUAUUACUGUUGAUUGGUUGCUGUGCCGGAGGAUUUUUUGUGCCAUCAGAAUACAGUAUAUGUAAGUACCACAGCUGUAAACAAAGUCUCAUUUCAUCAGAAUACAGUUUGUAAGUAACACAAGCUGUAACAUCAGUAAACAAAAAGUCUCAUUUAAGUUAUCUGCUAAAGAUCAUAUGCCAUUUUUCAUCUGCAGGGUUAAUGAUUAAUUUAUUUGCCAUGAGUUCUUCAAUUAAAAUUAAAAAUCUAUAUCCUGUUCAACUUCUUGUCUAGAAAAACAAAUGAGAAAUAAAGAAGCAAGUUGUUAUUUUGAUGUAGAUUAUUUUCAAGUGUUUAUUUAUUAAUGUCAUGAUCAUUUCUCUGAUUGAGCAGUACUUUUACUAUACAUGCUAUAUGUGUAUAUAUCAUUUUUGAAACAUAAUAUUUUUUUUCAUGAAAAGGUAUAUCAUGUAUUAUGAAGAAUUUAAGAAGAAAAAAUGAUAUAAAAUAUUUGCCUGUUAACUUUCCCUCUUUCCUUCUUUAUAUGAUGGCAUCAACAUGAUCAAGUCAUUGCUUGUAUGUUUAAAGAUAAGAUUUAAGUUCUACAUAAAAAAGGAUAACAGAAAUUUCACAAAAUAUUUGACAAUACAGCAGAUCACACCAACUACCAGUAUAAUUUUUAAAAAACCCAAAGAAAACAAGGAACGAUACUGGAUCCAGAACUUGGUAGAGGCACCCUAUGUGGUGGGAUUUAACAGUUUUACAUAUCUACGAAUCUCCCUCUUUCCCUAUCAAAGAUCCAAAAGAAAACCACACUAUUCUGAAUAUGAUGUUGCUCACAUGAAUUGUACAUUUUGUACCUUUUGACAAAGUUUGAUAUAAUUAAAUACAUGUACGUUGUUCACCUUUUUUAUUAGUGAUUAACAUUGAUCUUUUCCACAGACUGGAUGUAUUUUGGUAUGGUCGGAGGGUUCAUCUUUAUUUUACUACAACUCAUUCUCCUGGUAGACUUUUCACACUCCUGG